Rhipicephalus microplus (southern cattle tick) is the source of this 340-nucleotide long non-coding RNA. The record is from RefSeq and is a predicted model, not a curated record. NCBI's taxonomy places the organism in Eukaryota, Metazoa, Arthropoda, Arachnida, Ixodida, Ixodidae.
CAAAAGUGUUACAGGGAGAAAAUAUUAAGUACCAACAUAUGUACUACGUCAAGUUCCCUCUAAAGGAUAAGGUUUCCGUUGAAAUGGAAGGUUCCUUUCAAUACAAAAAUAACUUGGUUACCAGCAAAUGUGGUUCGAAAGCGUUCUUUAAACACCAUCUUGUAUAUCUUGAUUCGGACUACGUGUGUGCAAUCAUCCGGGUUUCACCGAUGUUUACCAGUAAACUGAAGCCUUGGUACGAGCUGCGAGUACGGAACCCGUUCCUUAUAAGAUAUCGCCGUCCUUCGAUCACUUGCCAACACUAUUUCAACCUCGAAGCAAAGCAAGGACGUCUUAUUUA